GCAUUCAGAGGCGAUGAAGGACGAGAUAAUCUGCUAUAAGCUUCGGGUAGCUGGUAAAUGAGCUAUGACCCGGAGAUUGCCGAAUGGGGGAACCCACCUGACACAAGUUGGGUACUCACUCGAUAUAGAGUGUAGAGCGAACGAGGGGAACUGAAACAUCUAAGUACCCUUAGGAAGAGAAAUCAAUUUAGAUUCCCGUAGUAGUGGCGAGCGAAGUGGGAAGAGCCUGGUAUGAUUUAGCUGUAAUUAUAGUAGAACAAGUUGGGAAGCUUGACGAUAGAGGGUGAUAGUCCCGUAUACGAAAUAAGCACAGUGGAACUAAGCAUUCGAACAAGUAGGACGGGGCACGUGGAACCUUGUCUGAAUAUGGGGGGACCAUCCUCCAAGGCUAAAUACUCCUGAAUGA
Molecule: ribosomal RNA, 406 nt
Filed under: Francisella tularensis subsp. holarctica
Lineage: Bacteria; Pseudomonadati; Pseudomonadota; Gammaproteobacteria; Thiotrichales; Francisellaceae
Description: partial 23S ribosomal RNA
Rfam family: Bacterial large subunit ribosomal RNA
Source: RNAcentral